GACGAGCGCUGGCGGCGUGCUUAACACAUGCAAGUCGAACGGUGAAGGGACUGGUUUUGCUGGUCCUGGAUGAGUGGCGAACGGGUGAGUAACACGUGAGUAACCUGCCCCCUUCUUCUGGAUAACCGCAUGAAAGUGUGGCUAAUACGGGAUAUUCUGGGUCUGUCGCAUGGUGGGCCUGGGAAAGAUUGCGCCUUUUUUGGUGUUUUUGGUGGGGGAUGGGCUCGCGGCCUAUCAGCUUGUUGGUGGGGUGAUGGCCUACCAAGGCGGUGACGGGUAGCCGGCCUGAGAGGGUGGACGGUCACACUGGGACUGAGACACGGCCCAGACUCCUACGGGAGGCAGCAGUGGGGAAUAUUGCACAAUGGGCGCAAGCCUGAUGCAGCGACGCCGCGUGAGGGAUGGAGGCCUUCGGGUUGUGAACCUCUUUCGCCAGUGAAGCAGGCCUGCCUCUUUGUGUGGGUGGGUUGACGGUAGCUGGAGAAGAAGCGCCGGCUAACUACGUG
RNAcentral lists this ribosomal RNA (506 nucleotides) under uncultured bacterium. RNAcentral describes it as "partial 16S ribosomal RNA". It matches the Rfam family "Bacterial small subunit ribosomal RNA", at positions 28 to 507 of the family's 1533-position model. The record is from RNAcentral.